CUUAGGCUGGGCUGGACUAUCAAAUGCAAACUUUUAAAAAAAAAAAAAAAAUACUAUGAAUAUGUUUCUGUACAUAAGGCCCAAUACUGGAAUGCUGUUUGGAACAAGGUGUUCAUGGUCCGGUUUCUACACAGGCUUUGAUCAUGCCCAAUUCUUAUGCCUCGGGAUAGGCCUUCAGCCCGAAAGACUACAGGCCCAGGUUUCAACGCAUCCAUCUUUAUUUAUACAGAGUACCCAUCUUUGAGUUAGUGAGCCGUUAUUUGAUCCAUUUUCUCUUAUGGGCCGGAUUUGGCCUACCACUGAUCAUUUACCUUCCGUUUUAGUGGGACUUUCCUUUUUGGGCGCGUUUGGUUCGCAGUAUUAAAUAUUACUAUGAGUAAAAAGAUAUCCGAGAAUCUUAUUCAUAUUCAUCCUAUUAUUAAGAUGUAGUAGUAUUUCGGUGUUUGGCUCGCACGUACAUAUUAUUUAGUUAUGUCAUUUAAAAUUACGAAAAAUAUACAAUUUAUUUAUUUAUUUUUAAAAUUAAUUUUAAAUAAUAUUAUAAAAAAUUUUAAUAUUUUUUUAGAAAAAAGAGAGAGAAUAUGAAUAAGAUUCNUUUAUAAUUUUAAUUAAGUUUGAAAUUAAGCAUGGGAAUAGCACUAUUCCACCAAAAUGAUGGAAUAGUAAAAAGCUUGCUAUUCCGGGAUAACCGGGAAUAGCAAGCUUUGACCGGAAUAAAAUAUCCCGGUAAAAAAUGAUCCCGUUUGGCGGAAUAGUGGGGAUAACUUUCGUUAUCCCCGCUUAUCCCCUAACCAAACGGGGCCUAAGAAUAUAGUAUUUCGGUGUUUGGUUCGUACGGUCAUAUUAUUUAGUCAUGUUAUUUAAAAUUACAAAAAAUAUAUAAUUAAUUAAUUAAUUAAUUAAAUUAAUUUUAAAUAAUAUUAUAAAAAAUUUUAAUAUUUUUUUAGAAAAAAGAGAGAGAAUAUAGGUUAGAAAGAGAGAGUAUAAUUAAAAAAAAUAGGAAGAUAAAUAGAGUCGAUAUCAGAGAGAAUGAGAGGAUUGAGAUUUUAGAAAAAGAGGGAGAGAAAUAUAUAGUUUAGUUUAGAAAGAAAAAGAUAAGUUUAGAGAGAGAUGAGGUUAAAGUAUAAAGAAAAAUAAUACCAACUAGCCGGCAAGUGAGAAGAAAGAAAGAGAUUGGACAUAUUAUAAUUAUUUCAAUCCAUUAAUAUAAGAAUAUCCACUCUUCCUCAAAGAAAUAAGAUUAGUAUUUUACGAUGCAUCUCAUUCCUAAAUAAAUAUAGUAUUAUUAAUUAAAUUACUUAAUGCGUUUAGUCAAAUACCAACAUAUUUUUUUUAUUUCUAUUAAAUUAUUAAAAAUUUUUAAAAAAUAGCGCGAACCAAAAUC
This 1384-nucleotide long non-coding RNA is filed under the name Ananas comosus (pineapple). RNAcentral's name for it is "long non-coding RNA (ACOM_LNC032106)". The record is from RNAcentral. Lineage: Eukaryota; Viridiplantae; Streptophyta; Magnoliopsida; Poales; Bromeliaceae.